AGCGAACGCUGGUGGUAUGCUUAACACAUGCAAGUCGAACGAGUAUGGCCUAGCUUGCUAGGACCCAGCGAGUGGCGGACGGGUGAGUAACGCGUGGGAAUCUGCCUCAUGGUUUGGAAUAACAUUCAGAAAUGAAUGCUAAUACCAAAUAAUACCUUCGGGUCAAAGAUUUAUUGCCAUGAGAUGAGCCCGCGUUAGAUUAGCUAGUUGGUAAGGUAAUGGCUUACCAAGGCUACGAUCUAUAGCUGGUCUGAGAGGAUGAUCAGCCACACUGGAACUGAGACACGGUCCAG
RNAcentral lists this ribosomal RNA (293 nucleotides) under uncultured bacterium. Its description in RNAcentral is "partial 16S ribosomal RNA". It matches the Rfam family "Bacterial small subunit ribosomal RNA", at positions 29 to 334 of the family's 1533-position model. The record is from RNAcentral.